GACGAACGCUGGCGGCGUGCUUAACACAUGCAAGUCGAACGGAAAGGCCCUGCUUGCAGGGUGCUCGAGUGGCGAACGGGUGAGUAACACGUGGGUGAUCUGCCCCUUACUUUGGGAUAAGCCUGGGAAACUGGGUCUAAUACUGGAUAGGACCAUGCUGUAGGUGGUGUGGUGGAAAGAUUAGUUUCGGUAAGGGAUGAGCUCGCGGCCUAUCAGCUUGUUGGUGGGGUAAUGGCCUACCAAGGCGUCGACGGGUAGCCGGCCUGAGAGGGUGGACGGCCCCGUUGGGACUGAGAUCCGGCCCAGCCUCCUGCGGGAGGCGGCAGUGGGGAAUAUUGCACACUGGGCGCAGGCCUGAUGCGGCGACGCCGCGUGGGGGGUGACGGCCUUCGGGUUGUAAACUCCUUUCGGCCAUGACGAAGCCCUUGUGGUGACGGUAGUGGUAGAAGAAGCACCGGCUAACUACGUG
RNAcentral lists this ribosomal RNA (469 nucleotides) under uncultured bacterium. Its description in RNAcentral is "partial 16S ribosomal RNA". It matches the Rfam family "Bacterial small subunit ribosomal RNA", at positions 28 to 507 of the family's 1533-position model. The record is from RNAcentral.